This 450-nucleotide ribosomal RNA is filed under the name uncultured bacterium. Its description in RNAcentral is "partial 16S ribosomal RNA". It matches the Rfam family "Bacterial small subunit ribosomal RNA", at positions 354 to 796 of the family's 1533-position model. The record is from RNAcentral.
GUGGGGAAUUUUGGACAAUGGGCGCAAGCCUGAUCCAGCAAUGCCGCGUGCAGGAAGAAGGCCUUCGGGUUGUAAACUGCUUUUGUACGGAACGAAACGGUCCUGGUUAAUACCUGGGGCUAAUGACGGUACCGUAAGAAUAAGCACCGGCUAACUACGUGCCAGCAGCCGCGGUAAUACGUAGGGUGCAAGCGUUAAUCGGAAUUACUGGGCGUAAAGCGUGCGCAGGCGGUUUUGUAAGACAGGCGUGAAAUCCCCGGGCUCAACCUGGGAAUUGCGCUUGUGACUGCAAGGCUGGAGUGCGGCAGAGGGGGAUGGAAUUCCGCGUGUAGCAGUGAAAUGCGUAGAUAUGCGGAGGAACACCGAUGGCGAAGGCAAUCCCCUGGGCCUGCACUGACGCUCAUGCACGAAAGCGUGGGGAGCAAACAGGAUUAGAUACCCGGGUAGUCC